This 91-nucleotide transfer RNA is filed under the name Rhodobiaceae bacterium. RNAcentral's name for it is "tRNA-Ser". It matches the Rfam family "tRNA". From Rfam's summary of the family: Transfer RNA (tRNA) molecules are approximately 80 nucleotides in length. Their secondary structure includes four short double-helical elements and three loops (D, anti-codon, and T loops). Lineage: Bacteria; Pseudomonadati; Pseudomonadota; Alphaproteobacteria; Hyphomicrobiales; Rhodobiaceae. The record is from RNAcentral.
GGAGAGGUGGCCGAGUGGCUGAAGGCGCGCCCCUGCUAAGGGUGUAUACGUUCAUAGCGUAUCGAGGGUUCGAAUCCCUUCCUCUCUGCCA